Molecule: non-coding RNA, 32 nt
Filed under: Mus musculus (house mouse)
Lineage: Eukaryota; Metazoa; Chordata; Mammalia; Rodentia; Muridae
Source: RNAcentral
UAAGUCUUUUAAGUAAGGAUAGAUGACAGAGU